Molecule: small nuclear RNA, 164 nt
Filed under: Echinops telfairi (small Madagascar hedgehog)
Lineage: Eukaryota; Metazoa; Chordata; Mammalia; Afrosoricida; Tenrecidae
Description: U1 spliceosomal RNA (ENSETEG00000022955.1)
Rfam family: U1 spliceosomal RNA
About the family: U1 is a small nuclear RNA (snRNA) component of the spliceosome (involved in pre-mRNA splicing). Its 5' end forms complementary base pairs with the 5' splice junction, thus defining the 5' donor site of an intron.
Source: RNAcentral
UUAAUUCCCUGGCAGGGGAGAUACCAUCAUCACGAAGGUGGUUUUCCCAGGGCGAGGCUUAUCCAUUGCACUCCGGAUGUGCUGGCCCCUGUGAUUUUCCCAAAUGUGGGAAACUUGACUGCAUAAUUUGUGGUCAUGGGGGACUGUGUUCCUGCUCUCCCCUG